UCCGGCUUAACGCCGGCGGUCUCGCUAGAGUCCCCGGCUUUACCCGCUGGCAACUAGCGACAAGGGUUUCGCUCGUUAAGGGACUUAACCCGACACUUCACAGCACGAGCUGACGACAGCCAUGCAGCACCUGUGCACGUUCCACCCGAAGGCGUGGCCCGGCUUUCACCGGGUUAAUCCGUGCAUGUCAAGACUAGGAUAAGGUUCUUCGCGUAGCCUCGAAUUAAGCCACAUCCUCCACCGCUUGUGUGAGCCCCCGUCAAUUUCUUUGAGUUUCAGCCUUGCGACCAUACUCCCCAGGCGGAGCACUUAACACUUUCGCUACGGCUGAAAGGCUAUGGAGGACCCUUCAACCCAGUGCUCAUCGUUUACAGCUAGGACUAC
Molecule: unclassified non-coding RNA, 384 nt
Filed under: uncultured Pirellulaceae bacterium
Lineage: Bacteria; Pseudomonadati; Planctomycetota; Planctomycetia; Pirellulales; Pirellulaceae
Description: contains 16S-23S intergenic spacer region
Source: RNAcentral